UACGAAGGGGGCUAGCGUUGUUCGGAAUCACUGGGCGUAAAGCGCACGUAGGCGGAUGUGCCAGUCAGGGGUGAAAUCCCGGAGCUCAACUUCGGAACUGCCUCUGAUACAGCACGUCUUGAGUCCGGAAGAGGUGGGUGGAAUUCCUAGUGUAGAGGUGAAAUUCGUAGAUAUUCGGAAGAACACCAGUGGCGAAGGCGGCUCACUGGUCCGGUACUGACGCUGAGGUGCGAAAGCGUGGGGAGCAAACAGG
Molecule: ribosomal RNA, 253 nt
Filed under: uncultured bacterium
Lineage: Bacteria
Description: partial 16S ribosomal RNA
Rfam family: Bacterial small subunit ribosomal RNA
Source: RNAcentral